Molecule: ribosomal RNA, 460 nt
Filed under: uncultured bacterium
Lineage: Bacteria
Description: partial 16S ribosomal RNA
Rfam family: Bacterial small subunit ribosomal RNA
Source: RNAcentral
CCUACGGGAGGCAGCAGUGAGGAAUAUUGGUCAAUGGGCGGGAGCCUGAACCAGCCAAGUCGCGUGAAGGAAGAAGGUACUUAGUAUUGUAAACUUCUUUUGUCGGGGAACAAAGGCGGAGACGCGUCUCCGGAUGAGUGUACCCGAAGAAAAAGCAUCGGCUAACUCCGUGCCAGCAGCCGCGGUAAUACGGAGGGUGCGAGCGUUAAUCGGAAUUACUGGGCGUAAAGCGCUCGUAGGCGGUAUGUCAAGUCAAGGGUGAAAUCCCCGCGCUCAACGUGGGAACUGCCUUUGAAACUGGCAAACUGGAGUGUGUGAGAGGAUAGUGGAAUUCCAGGUGUAGGAGUGAAAUCCGUAGAUAUCUGGAGGAACAUCAGUGGCGAAGGCGACUAUCUGGCACAUAACUGACGCUGAGGAGCGAAAGCGUGGGUAGCAAACAGGAUUAGAUACCCUUGUAGUC